Molecule: ribosomal RNA, 510 nt
Filed under: uncultured bacterium
Lineage: Bacteria
Description: partial 16S ribosomal RNA
Rfam family: Bacterial small subunit ribosomal RNA
Source: RNAcentral
AACGAACGCUGGCGGCGUGCUUAACACAUGCAAGUCGAACGACAACCGAUUGAAGCUUGCUUCUAUCACUCUUAGUGUCGAACGGGUGAGUAAAGCGUAAUCAACCUGCCCUUUAGAGGGGGACAACAGUUGGAAACGACUCCUCAUACCGCCUACGAACUAAUCUCUGCAUCGAGGGAAGCUUAAGAGUUGCCUCUAUUUAAUGGCUAUCACUUAAGUAAGCUAUUUCGUCUGAUUAGCUAGUAGGAGGGGUAACGGCCCAACAAGGCGGUGAAUAGUAGCCGGGUUGAGAGGAUGAACGGCCAAAUUGGGACUGAGACACGGCCCAGACUCCUACGGGAGGCAGCAGUGGGGAAUCUUCCGCAAUGGACGAAAGUCUGACGGAGCAACGCCGCGUGAGUGAUGACGGCCUUCGGGUUGUAAAGCUCUGUUAAUCGGGACGAAAGGCCUUCUUGCGAACAGUUAGAAGGAUUGACGGUACCGGAAUAGAAAGCCACGGCUAACUACGUG